AUCUCCUAAGGCUAAAUACUCUCUAGUGACCGAUAGUGAACCAGUACCGUGAGGGAAAGGUGAAAAGCACCCCGGAAGGGGAGUGAAAUAGAACCUGAAACCGUGUGCUUACAAGUAGUCAGAGCCCGUUAAUGGGUGAUGGCGUGCCUUUUGUAGAAUGAACCGGCGAGUUACGAUUUGAUGCAAGGUUAAGCAGUAAAUGUGGAGCCGUAGCGAAAGCGAGUCUGAAUAGGGCGUUUAGUAUUUGGUCGUAGACCCGAAACCAGGUGAUCUACCCUUGGUCAGGUUGAAGUUCAGGUAACACUGAAUGGAGGACCGAACCGACUUACGUUGAAAAGUGAGCGGAUGAACUGAGGGUAGCGGAGAAAUUCCAAUCGAACCUGGAGAUAGCUGGUUCUCUCCGAAAUAGCUUUAGGGCUAGCCUCAAGUGAUGAUUAUUGGAGGUAGAGCACUGUUUGGACGAGGGGCCCCUCUCGGGUUACCGAAUUCAGACAAACUCCGAAUGCCAAUUAAUUUAACUUGGGAGUCAGAACAUGGGUGAUAAGGUCCGUGUUCGAAAGGGAAACAGCCCAGACCACCAGCUAAGGUCCCAAAAUAUAUGUUAAGUGGAAAAGGAUGUGGCGUUGCCCAGACAACUAGGAUGUUGGCUUAGAAGCAGCCAUCAUUUAAAGAGUGCGUAAUAGCUCACUAGUCGAGUGACACUGCGCCGAAAAUGUACCGGGGCUAAACAUAUUACCGAAGCUGUGGAUUGUCCUUUGGACAAUGGUAGGAGAGCGUUCUAAGGGCGUUGAAGCAUGAUCGUAAGGACAUGUGGAGCGCUUAGAAGUGAGAAUGCCGGUGUGAGUAGCGAAAGACGGGUGAGAAUCCCGUCCACCGAUUGACUAAGGUUUCCAGAGGAAGGCUCGUCCGCUCUGGGUUAGUCGGGUCCUAAGCUGAGGCCGACAGGCGUAGGCGAUGGAUAACAGGUUGAUAUUCCUGUACCACCUAUAAUCGUUUUAAUCGAUGGGGGGACGCAGUAGGAUAGGCGAAGCGUGCGAUUGGAUUGCACGUCUAAGCAGUAAGGCUGAG
This 1068-nucleotide ribosomal RNA is filed under the name Staphylococcus aureus. RNAcentral's name for it is "partial 23S ribosomal RNA". It matches the Rfam family "Bacterial large subunit ribosomal RNA", at positions 455 to 1529 of the family's 2925-position model. The record is from RNAcentral. Lineage: Bacteria; Bacillati; Bacillota; Bacilli; Caryophanales; Staphylococcaceae.